RNAcentral lists this ribosomal RNA (88 nucleotides) under Anaerolineae bacterium. RNAcentral describes it as "partial 23S ribosomal RNA". It matches the Rfam family "Bacterial large subunit ribosomal RNA", at positions 2836 to 2925 of the family's 2925-position model. The record is from RNAcentral. Lineage: Bacteria; Bacillati; Chloroflexota; Anaerolineae.
GCUGGUAGACUACCAGUUUGAUAGGUGGCGUGUGUAAGCGCAGCGAUGUGUUGAGCUAAGCCAUACUAAUGGCCAAAGGCUUAAUUUU